This 497-nucleotide ribosomal RNA is filed under the name uncultured bacterium. RNAcentral describes it as "partial 16S ribosomal RNA". It matches the Rfam family "Bacterial small subunit ribosomal RNA", at positions 28 to 507 of the family's 1533-position model. The record is from RNAcentral.
GAUGAACGCUGGCGGCGUGCCUAAUACAUGCAAGUCGAGCGAACAGACGAGGAGCUUGCUCCUCUGACGUUAGCGGCGGACGGGUGAGUAAAACGUGGAUAACCUACCUAUAAGACUGGGAUAACUUCGGGAAACCGGAGCUAAUACCGGAUAAUAUAUUGAACCGCAUGGUUCAAUAGUGAAAGACGGUUUUGCUGUCACUUAUAGAUGGAUCCGCGCCGCAUUAGCUAGUUGGUAAGGUAACGGCUUACCAAGGCAACGAUGCGUAGCCGACCUGAGAGGGUGAUCGGCCACACUGGAACUGAGACACGGUCCAGACUCCUACGGGAGGCAGCAGUAGGGAAUCUUCCGCAAUGGGCGAAAGCUUGACGGAGCAACGCCGCGUGAGUGAUGAAGGUCUUCGGAUCGUAAAACUCUGUUGUUAGGGAAGAACAAAUGUGUAAGUAACUAUGCACGUCUUGACGGUACCUAAUCAGAAAGCCACGGCUAACUACGUG